AUGACUGAUGACCAGUGGAACGAGCUGGUGGAAAGCUGGAAGGAUCCCAAAAAGAUGGGGAUAUCUCAAAUUAACAAAGCUAAUCGAGCUCAAGUUAAGUUCCACCAAACUACUGGAGCGCGCAGCUACCCUGUGCACUGUGGAAAUCUGGGAGACAAAUACAAUGAUAAAGAACCAACUGCUGUCGAUUUGUUCAAGGAGUGCCACUACAGCAAGAAAAAGAAAGGUUACACCAAUGUUGUGCUGGAUGCAAUUACCGAGAUGGAAAAGAAGGUUCCUAAUCCUACAGAAGAUGGUCAGGAAUCGAGCUCUGCAACUGAGGCGCUAACCGAAGCUGUAGCUGAAGUGCUUCCUAAGCACACUAAGAAGCCGAGGUUUCUUCAGCAUGUGGGGAUCCAACACGUCCAUGCGAGAUCUAGUGAUAUCAACCAUGAAGUAGAAUUGGCAGCGCAAAAGAUGAAUGUUGAGCUUCGGGCGUGUGUUGACACCUUGACCAAGAAGUUCAAGGAAUCUGAAGAAGAAAGGGCCAGGCAAGAUGAGGAGUACAGGAAGCGAGACGAGGAGAACAGGAAGAAGCAACCUGAGAUGGAUGCAAAACUAGACUUAUUGCUAAGUCAGAUGCCAUCAAGAUCAGCUGAAGGGUAA
RNAcentral lists this ribosomal RNA (645 nucleotides) under Triticum aestivum (bread wheat). RNAcentral's name for it is "partial small subunit ribosomal RNA". Lineage: Eukaryota; Viridiplantae; Streptophyta; Magnoliopsida; Poales; Poaceae. The record is from RNAcentral.